AAACGAAAAUGACUCUCGGUUCUCACAUCGAUGCAGAACCUAGCGAAAUGCAAUACUUGGUAUGAACUGCAGAAUCCCGUGGAUUAUCGAGUCUUUGAACUUAAGUUGCGUCACGCAUCGCGUCACCCCCUGGCAUCG
RNAcentral lists this ribosomal RNA (138 nucleotides) under Capsicum annuum. RNAcentral's name for it is "5.8S ribosomal RNA". It matches the Rfam family "5.8S ribosomal RNA", at positions 19 to 154 of the family's 154-position model. Rfam says of the family: 5.8S ribosomal RNA (5.8S rRNA) is a component of the large subunit of the eukaryotic ribosome. It is transcribed by RNA polymerase I as part of the 45S precursor that also contains 18S and 28S rRNA. The record is from Rfam by way of RNAcentral. Lineage: Eukaryota; Viridiplantae; Streptophyta; Magnoliopsida; Solanales; Solanaceae.